GCAGUCGAGCGGUUCAGCAAUGGAUAGCGGCAGACGGGUGCGUAACGCGUAUGAAACUUACCCUACACAGGAGGAUAGCCUUGGGAAACUGAGAGUAACCCUCCAUAGUCUUGUCAUGCCGCAUGGUAUAAUAAGUAAAACUUCGGUGGUGUAGGAUAGUCGUGCGUCCGAUUAGCUAGUUGGUGAGGUAAUGGCUCACCAAGGCGACGAUCGGUAGCUGGUCUGAGAGGAUGAUCAGCCACACGGGCACUGAGACACGGGCCCGACUCCUACGGGAGGCAGCAGUAAGGAAUAUUGGACAAUGGACGGAAGUCUGAUCCAGCCAUCCCGCGUGGAGGAAUAAGGCCCUAUGGGUUGUAAACUCCUUUAGCAGGGGAAUAAAAAGGUCAUUUAUGAUCAAUUGAAGGUACCCUGAGAAUAAGCACCGGCUAACUCCGUGCCAGCAGCCGCGGUAAUACGGAGGGUGCAAGCGUUAUCCGGAUUUACUGGGUUUAAAGGGUGCGUAGGCGGACUAUUAAGUCAAAUGUGAAAGCUUGCAGCUUAACUGUAAGAUUGCGUUUGAUACUGGUAGUCUUGAAUAUGGUAGAAGUUGGCGGAAUAAAUCAUGUAGCGGUGAAUGCUUAGAUAUGAUUUAGAACACCGAUUGCGAAGGCAGCUAGCUAUGUCAUAAUUGACGCUGAGGCACGAAAGCGUGGGGAUCAACAGGAUUAGAUACCCUGGUUGUCCACGCCCUAACGAUGAUACUCGUUGUUGGCGAUAUAC
RNAcentral lists this ribosomal RNA (762 nucleotides) under uncultured Bacteroidota bacterium. Its description in RNAcentral is "bacterial SSU rRNA". It matches the Rfam family "Bacterial small subunit ribosomal RNA", at positions 57 to 834 of the family's 1533-position model. Lineage: Bacteria; Pseudomonadati; Bacteroidota. The record is from RNAcentral.